This 253-nucleotide ribosomal RNA is filed under the name uncultured bacterium. Its description in RNAcentral is "partial 16S ribosomal RNA". It matches the Rfam family "Bacterial small subunit ribosomal RNA", at positions 524 to 776 of the family's 1533-position model. The record is from RNAcentral.
UACGUAGGUGGCAAGCGUUAUCCGGAUUUAUUGGGCGUAAAGGGAACGCAGGAGGUCUUUUAAGUCUGAUGUGAAAGCCUUCGGCUUAACCGGAGUAGUGCAUUGGAAACUGGGAGACUUGAGUGCAGAAGAGGAGAGUGGAACUCCAUGUGUAGCGGUGAAAUGCGUAGAUAUAUGGAAGAACACCAGUGGCGAAAGCGGCUCUCUGGUCUGUAACUGACGCUGAGGUUCGAAAGCGUGGGUAGCAAACAGG